This 77-nucleotide transfer RNA is filed under the name Gammaproteobacteria bacterium. Its description in RNAcentral is "tRNA-Arg". It matches the Rfam family "tRNA". From Rfam's summary of the family: Transfer RNA (tRNA) molecules are approximately 80 nucleotides in length. Their secondary structure includes four short double-helical elements and three loops (D, anti-codon, and T loops). Further hydrogen bonds mediate the characteristic L-shaped molecular structure. tRNAs have two regions of fundamental functional importance: the anti-codon, which is responsible for specific mRNA codon recognition, and the 3' end, to which the tRNAs corresponding amino acid is attached (by aminoacyl-tRNA synthetases). tRNAs cope with the degeneracy of the genetic code in two manners: having more than one tRNA (with a specific anti-codon) for a particular amino acid; and 'wobble' base-pairing, i.e. permitting non-standard base-pairing at the 3rd anti-codon position. RNAcentral also lists the same sequence under 4 other names. Lineage: Bacteria; Pseudomonadati; Pseudomonadota; Gammaproteobacteria. The record is from RNAcentral.
GCACUCGUAGCUCAGCUGGAUAGAGUACCCGGCUACGAACCGGGCGGUCGAAGGUUCGAAUCCUUCCGAGUGCGCCA